AAAAUUAGAGUGUUCAAAGCAGGCAGAUCCAAUUUUCUGCCACCGAAUACAUUAGCAUGGGAUAAUGGAAUAGGACCCUGUCCUCCUAUUUUCAGUUGGUUUUGGCAGCGCGAGGACUAGGGUAAUGAUUAAUAGGGAUAGUUGGGGGCAUUAAUAUUUAAUUGUCAGAGGUGAAAUUCUUGGAUUUAUGAAAGAUUAACUUCUGCGAAAGCAUCUGCCAAGGAUGUUUUCAUUAAUCAAGAACGAAAGUUAGGGGAUCGAAGACGAUCAGAUACCGUCGUAGUCUUAACCAUAAACGAUGCCGACCAGCGAUUAGGAGACGUUGAAUACAAAACACCACCAUCGGUGCGGUCGUCCUUGGCGUCUCGGUCCUUCACGGGGCCGGGGCGCGGGGGUGGCUAGCC
RNAcentral lists this ribosomal RNA (404 nucleotides) under Acanthamoeba sp. Its description in RNAcentral is "SSU rRNA". It matches the Rfam family "Eukaryotic small subunit ribosomal RNA", at positions 762 to 1115 of the family's 1831-position model. The record is from RNAcentral. Lineage: Eukaryota; Discosea; Longamoebia; Acanthamoebidae.